UGCUUACGAGUGGCGAACGGGUGAGUAAGAGGAAGGAACGUGCCCGAUGGUGGGGGAUAACGAGGCGAAAGCUUUGCUAGUACCGCAUACGAUCUACGGAUGAAAGCGGGGGAUCUUCGGACCUCGCGCGGACGGAGCGGCCGAUGUCAGAUUAGGUAGUUGGUGGGAUAAAAGCUUACCAAGCCGACGAUCUGUAGCUGGUCUGAUAGGAUGAUCACCCACACUGGGACUGAGACACGGUCCAGACUCCUACGGGAGGCAGCAGUGGGGAAUUUUGGACAAUGGGCGAAAGCCUGAUCCAGCCAUGCCGCGUGCAAGAUGAAGGCCUUCGGGUUGUAAACUGCUUUUGUACGGAACGAAAAGCCUCUUUCUAAAAAAGAGGGGUCAUGACGGUCCCGUACGAAUAAGCACCGGCUAACUACGUGCCAGCAUCCGCGGUAAUACGUAGGGUGCAAGCGUUAAUCGGAAUUACUGGGCGUAAAGCGUGCUCAGGCGGUUUUGUAAGACAGAGGUGAUAUCCCCGGGCUCAACCUGGGAACUGCCUUUGUGACUGCAAGGCUGGAGUGCGGCGGAAGGUGAUGGAAUUCCACGAGUAGCAAUGAAAUGCGUAAUAUGCAAAGGAACACCGAUGGCGAAGGCAAUCCCCUGGGCCUGCACUGACUCUCAUGCUCGAAAGCGUUGGGAGCAAACAGGAUUAGAUACCCUGGUAUCCACGCCCUUAACAAUCUCACUGGAUGUUGGGACUUCACUGACUCAGAAGCUAAACCUACUCCAGAACUUCACCGCACUGGAGUAGUACAGUCCGCCAUGGUGAAAACUCAACGCAAUUGAGAGGCGACACGCCAAAUGCAGGGGGAUGAUGCGGAUUAAAGUCGAUGCAACGGUUAAAAUCUUUACCCACCCUU
Molecule: ribosomal RNA, 905 nt
Filed under: uncultured Diaphorobacter sp.
Lineage: Bacteria; Pseudomonadati; Pseudomonadota; Betaproteobacteria; Burkholderiales; Comamonadaceae
Description: bacterial SSU rRNA
Rfam family: Bacterial small subunit ribosomal RNA
Source: RNAcentral